UAGAAGGAAAUCAUAUCAAACAGGUGAGUUGUUUAGAUUAUCAAGAAUUGAGUAGGCUACAGUUGCUUGCCAAGUUAUGAAAUUUAUAUGUUUAGUUUCUGUUCUUUUGAUUAUACUUCUAUUGUGGAUUUGUACAAUUGGAAAACGAGAUAUCUUGAAGCAAAUAGCUUUGAAUGCUGUGCCAUACAUAUUUCAAUUUAAUAAAUAGCUGCAUGCAUUUGAGAUUUUGGAGGUCUUUGGUGUUCUGAUUCAAGAGCAUCUCAUGAGCUGUGUAGGCCCCAUUUGGCCCUCCAUUUG
Molecule: unclassified non-coding RNA, 297 nt
Filed under: Hevea brasiliensis (rubber tree)
Lineage: Eukaryota; Viridiplantae; Streptophyta; Magnoliopsida; Malpighiales; Euphorbiaceae
Source: RNAcentral